Molecule: long non-coding RNA, 5797 nt
Organism: Artibeus jamaicensis (Jamaican fruit-eating bat)
Lineage: Eukaryota; Metazoa; Chordata; Mammalia; Chiroptera; Phyllostomidae
Exons: 2
Source: RefSeq, a predicted model, not a curated record
GGGUGGAGCGUCUGCGAAGGGAGGUAUGUGUAAGCGCCUUCAGCUUGGUGCUGCGACUUUGGAUAAGAAAACGGGUUGGACUAGGUUAAAGCAUCGAGAGACCCCAGGAUUGCUUCAGGCCAGCAGAACCCACUGGAGAAAAAAAUAUUGGUAAAUAAGUUAUCUUCACAUCAUACAGUUUGGAACUACUGAGAGGAAGAACCAUAGGCUUAAAGUCUUUCUGCUGAAGUGACACCUCGAGUAUCAUGUCUACACUGACAAUGUUUUCUAGCUAUAUCCAUACUUGCAAAACAAAGUAUUAUUUUGAAAACUCCCAGCACUAUAUAAAAAAAACUAGUUACUGAUUUUAGUAGUUCAGCUUUCAGAGUUCACAGGCUCCACCUAGGAAUGAUGGAAGUAAAAUCAGUGUUUUUAUACCAAAGUAAAUAAAAGACCACUCAUCUUUUCUUGGUGUCAGUAGUCAGGGCAAGCUCCUGUUUAAAUGUGUUCAUUAUAAAAAAAGAUAGUCACACUAUAAAUUCUGUCCUUCCCUCUGAGAGAAGCUAGGUGAUGUACAUACAAAAGCAGCAAGACAACUGAUAACUCAAAAUAAUCAAGAAGAGUAUGAAACACUCUGUAGGGAGCAAAAUCUUUCCCUUGCCUACUGGCUUGCCCAAGCAGGGUAUUAUAGUAAAAGAUUGGUGGAAAUGAUGAAAGAACAAGAGAUAGGCAGUGAAAUUAAGAAGAAAUUGGAGCCCUGGCUGAUGUGGCUCAGUGGAUUGAGCACGGGCCUGCAAACCAAAGGGUUGCCAGUUUGAUUCCCAGUCAGGGCACAGACCUGGGUUUUGGGCCAGGUCCCCAGUAGCUAGUGCGCGAGAGGCAACCACACACUGAUGUUUCUCCCCCUCUCUUUCUCCUUCCCCUCUAUCUAAAAAAAUAAAUAGAAUCUUUUUAAAAAAAAGAAGAAGAAGAAAGAAGUUGGAGGGGGAAACAACCCAAGUAUAGAGAUUUAAAAAUGGCACUAUUUGGUACCUGAGAGAGAUGAAACACAUAGGCACAUACAUCAAAUGGGACAGGUCAAAGAAUUUAAGAAGAAAGCAUUUGGACAAUUACUUUGAUUCCCUAGUGUCACAUUCUCAAAAAUUUAGCCAGAAGAGCAUGGUGUCUAGAAUGGACAGAGAAGAAAACAGGUAAAGGAGAGGGAACAGAUACAAAUUAAGAUCACCAGGAAUGUGUGAUUCAAGGGAGAGAAUUUAUAGAGCAAAGACUGAAGGAAACAUUCUUAAGCCAGAACCAGCCACCUACAGCAAAGAAGCAUGGGAGAAUAAGGAAAGAGAUACAAGAAUUUGAAAGUGUUCUUGUAUAUCCACUUUUUUUCAGCCAGUCAGAUUAAAAUUAUGGAAAAGUCUCAAUACAGAAGAAGAAAGACAGUUAUAAAACCUUAUUAAAAAAUUCAUAGCUAUGCCACCCUUUUUUGAGAAGUCAAGAAAAGUAAAAGAUUAGUAGAGUUUCAGUGCUUUUCUGAUAAAAAUGUCUCUUAAAUGAAUUUUUAAUGCUAAUUCUCAUCUAUCCCUAGAGUUUAGUGCAUAGUCCCAUUUUAUAUCAGAUACUGAAAUAGUAAAUAUUUUUGGCCUUAGAAACUAGCUUAGUAUUUUUAUUCCUUUUAAUUCUCUUUGAUAUUUCCUCACCUGUAAAAGUGGGAUUAAUAAUAUUUUUUAGCAUUUACGGGUAAAUUAUGAUUUCUGUGAAACAUUAGCAUAUGGUAGAUGUUUCAUGAAUGUUAGUUUCCCCAGUUGGGAAGACCUGGCUUGAGCAGUGAUGGUGAAUAAGGAAUUGUUCUAAUCUGCUUCUCCCAUUCUCGCUGCUGUCAACCCUGGGAGAUUAUCUUGAUGAAAUUGCUACAGGUAAAUAUAUGGCCUUUCAUUUCCCAUUCCUAGUGUCACAUUCUCUUUAUCAGGAAACUAUUAACCAUGUCCUAAAAGUCUAACUUGCACUGUGUAAUUUAUUUAUAUGAGAAACCUAAUUCUGAGACUCUUCUAUAUGCCAGGCAUUGUUAGUUGUUGGGAGUGAAUAAAGAGAAGUCCUGGCCCUUGAAUAGGUUGCAACUAGUGGCAUAGAGCACUCUCUAAGUAGAUAGUAAGAUGUGGUAAGGGUUAUGGUAGGGGUAUGUAGGGAACUGUACAGAAAAGGGUCACCUGAUCUAGACUAGGUGAGCAGGAUGAGGAGGAGGAGGGAGGUUAGAGAAGGGAGUACUGUAGUCUCAAUUUUCUUCCAGCUCCACAUAUUAUCACUAUCUGUCAUCCAAGUAAGCAAGACCUUUCCAAUGUUUGAAUCUACUCAGAGCUAACCAAACUCACCCUCUCUCAAACAGAUUUAUUUAUACCCUGAUAAAUCAAAACCAAUUUAUGAAUUUAAUGAAAAUUUUAAUUACCAAGCAGAGUGAAAUUUGUUUACCAUUCAGUUCAUUUUUUUUUCAAAUAACCACAAAGUGGGAAAAGGAGAGGUUCCAAGUUGGUGAGUAGACAAUCAGAGAAAUGGAAAUUGGAUGCUCUAAGGAAUAUACCUAAUUUGUGAUGUUCCUGAUGCCCGCCCUUCUGUACUAGCAGGACACCCUUCACGAGAAUGUUGCUAAAUCAGCAGUCUGAUAGAACUUUCUGCAGUGUUGUGUUCUAUUUUUGUUUUUAGUGUGAUAGCUACUUUACAUAUGUGGCUAUUGGGCAGUUGAAAUGUGGCCAGUACAACUGUGGAACUAACAUUUUUAUUUAAUUUUAAAUCAUUAUAUGUUGCAAGCAUGACACUAAAUAUAAUUCCUGUGUUCUAGACUUCAGUCCCACAAUCAACUUCCUGUCUUUGACAAUAUUUGCAGGUGUGAUAGAUUAAUGCUCAUUUUGUAUUAGUAUCAGUUUCAUUUCUGUAUUUGAGAGGCUCCCUAAUCCCUUGAAGAGAUUCCAAAAGCACUGUAGAGGACUUCUGUGUGGAAAUGAGAUGGCUGAAGUUGCUUAAAUUAGGUUCAGGAACUGGAUCUUUGUUUAUUCUAGAAUUUGACCAGGACCCAUACCAAAAUUUCAUUACUACCCACCUGAUUUGCCUCAUGCACACUUUUUUGCCCAUGUCUGUACCCUGGUCUUCCAUUACCGUGUCCCAGCUUUAGGUUGUAGACCUUUCAAAGAGAUAGAUCAUCAGAGUCCAUGAGGUAAAGAGACAUUCAAAUCAAUAGGGCAGUAACCCUUUGAGUUCAGUGGACUGAAAAGUAAUAUAACAGAACUACCUUGGAUUCUAUUGCUGUGGGUUCUAUUGCCUGCCGCUGAAAAGAACUGUAACUCCCAAUGCCAGAGUAUUAUGAAAAGGAAAGGAACUGUUUGUUUAAAAGUUACAUAGGUUUAGCCCUGGCUAGUGUAGCUUAGUGGAUUGAGUGCCUACCUGUGAACCAAAGGGUCACUGGUUCAAUUCCCAGUCAGGGCACAUGCCUGAGUUGUGGACCAGGGCCCCAGUAGGGGGUGCAUGAGAGGCAACCACACACUGGUGUUUUCCUCUCUCCUUCCCUUCCCUCCUGUCUAAAAAUAAAUAAAAUUUUAAAAGUUACAUAGGUUUAGAAUAUUGGCAGAAUUCUGCCAUUAAACCCCAUGCCUUUUAGAAAACAAAAAACACCCGCAAAUACAGUCCUGCCUCCCCUUGCCAAACCAGGCAAAUCAGAGGUACAGUCUUUUGGGAAAAGAAAUAGAAACCUGUAGCUUAGCUGGGCGGAUUCCCAUCUGUAUUCCAGCUUCUUCCAGUUGUUUGUGCUCUGGUAGUAUUCCUCUCUUAAUCCAAAACUGCAUCUUCAUGAUGGGCCACUGGGGGUCCUUCUGCAUCCUUUCAAACUGCGAGACCAAGACCCUGCACAGUUGCUACAUGAUCAAGAGCAUGCAAGAGACUCUCAUGGUUCUCCUAGUCUCCUCCUGACAUGGUGCAGAGCUCUAGAAUGACUGCUGCACACUUGGGUGUAAAUACCACAUGGAUCUUCCUCCGUAACCCCAUUUCCUACUGCUCCCACAAAGGCUUAUGACAGGGGACUUAAGAGUUGGAAGAUUUUAGUUUAAGGUAAACAGUUAUAAGCCUAGCAAGGAGUAUAUAUGUUAAAGCUUUUGUUUCAGAAACUAUAGAUAGAUAAGGCCCAUCCUUACUCCUGGGAAAGCAGCCAAUCUCCUGGGGCACUGCUAAAGAUAACCACCUGGGGACAGGUGGGCAUGGGUAACCAAGUUCUUGGUGACUGGGACAAAGAAUUGAACCAAACACCCAGAGUUUAUAGCAGAGAACAUGGGAGCAGGCCAUCUCCAAGCAGAGAUUGACCUCAUGGACAGGAGGGACUCUAUUUUUAUAGGGCGGAUCCUUCCUGGAUAGUUUUGGCAGGCUUUUACUGCACAGGUACAAAUAGUUGUAUUACUUUAAAGCUACUGCACAUGUGGUCUCCCAUGAUUUUCCCGGAUUGGCCACCAGGGAAGGGGGUCCCACAAUGUUACCAAAUUGACCCUCCCCUUCUCCUGUGGUUCCCUUGUACUCAGUUCACCUUGCCCUUCGCCAGAGAAUUAUAGCUCUCCAUGUUAGAGAUUAGUGAAAAGGAAAGGAAUUAUUUAAGUUAUACAGACUUAAGAGUAAUGACUUAAUGUCCUCAUCAAAGUCCUUUAAAACACCCACAAACACACACAGUCCUUCUUCCCCUCUUGGCCUGGUCUGGGGUACCGUAUCUCAGGAAAAGAAAUAGAAGUUCAUGGCUCAGGCAGCCCCUGGUUCUUCCCAGUAAUCCAUGCUUGGCUGGUAGGCCUCCCUCAGUUCCUGGCACCAUCCCUGUGUUGCCAGGAGCUCUAGUUCUUAUUCCAAAACCACAUGGUACCUUCUCAUGGCUCACCAGCAAGAGUCCUUUCACCCCUUUCCUUCCUUCAGUGUCUCUCCUGCAUUCUUCCGAACUGCUAGAGAGAGCUCUGCAUCGCUGCUACAUCUUGCUUUUCAGCUUCCUAGGCUGCAUGACAAAGGAAGACCCAAAGCCAUGUGGUUCUCCCCUAAUAAAGCUGCAUGAUUCCUCUGCUAAAGCCACGUGGUUCUUCUUGUCAAGGCUGCCACACCUGGGUUUAAGUCCCAGUGCCAGUCGUCCUCUGCAGCACCCGUUUCCGACUCCUCCCACAAUUGGCUACACUUGCCAGCACUCAUAUUUUUCAGCUUCUCUGGGCUGCCAAGGUAAGUCUGGGCAGGUGUGGCCCUGUGGUGUGGAGCCAAUCAUCUCCAAGCUCUUAUGAAAGCUCUGUAACCUGGGGGGAGCUGCCUCCCAGUUACAUCUUGGGUGGAAGUCACUCCCUGCUCCCUGGCUCAAAGCAUGGCCACAGCUAUUUAACAUAUGUAUGAAACCAGUUAAAGGUUAUGCAAAACUGUUGCCAUGCAAAACAACUCAAUGGCCCUGUUGCAUGUAUUCUGUCCCCCAGCUCAGACUUGUGGGGGUGAAGGCAUCCCAUAUUUUUAAUAUUUCCUGGAUACCCUGAGUUCUAGACCCCAUUACAGAUCCUUCUUUUGGGGGCCCCCUGACUGCACCCUCUUAUAAUUGUGUACCAAAGAGAGACAGAUGACCACCCUUCUCUGGGAAUAGGUAACUGCCCGGGACAAAAAUGUUGCUUUUUUUUUUUUUUUAACCUAAUUCUCCCUGAACAUCAAAAUCCCUCACUGCACCUUGUUUAUUCCCUGGUAUAAAAACGUUGGCCUGGAAAGAAAAGACAAGAUGGUCUGUUAGGGUAUGAACCUGCCAUCUUCUCAGAUUGCCAGCCAUCUGAAUAAAGAGCCUAUAAAGAUUCAA